UACAGAGGGUGCAAGCGUUGUUCGGAAUUAUUGGGCGUAAAGGGAGUGUAGGCGGCUUGUUAAGUCUUCUGUGAAAUCUACGGGCUCAGCCUGUAAAGUGCAGAGGAAACUGGCGAGCUUGAGUGUCGGAGAGGAUAGGGGAAUACCCGGUGUAGAGGUGAAAUUCGUAGAGAUCGGGUGGAACACCAGUGGCGAAGGCGCCUAUCUGGCUGACAACUGACGCUGAUACUCGAAAGCAUGGGGAGCAAACAGG
Molecule: ribosomal RNA, 253 nt
Filed under: uncultured bacterium
Lineage: Bacteria
Description: partial 16S ribosomal RNA
Rfam family: Bacterial small subunit ribosomal RNA
Source: RNAcentral